AUUGAACGCUGGCGGCAGGCCUAACACAUGCAAGUCGAGCGAGCGGCGGACGGGUGAGUAAUGUCUGGGAAACUGCCUGAUGGAGGGGGAUAACUACUGGAAACGGUAGCUAAUACCGCAUACCAUCAGAUGUGCCCAGAUGGGAUUAGAUAGGAGGUGGGGUAAUGGCUCACCUGGGCGAAGAUCCCUAGCGGGUCUGCGAGGAUGACCAGCCACACGGGGAGUGGGACACGGUCCAGGCUCGUACGGAAGGCAGCAGUGGGGAAUAUUGCACAAGGGGCGCAAGCCUGAUGCAGCCAUGCCGCGUGUAUGAAGAAGGCCUGAGGGUUGUAAAGUACUUUAAGCGGGGAGGCGUUACCCGCAGAAGAAGCACCGGCUAACUCCGUACCAGCAGCCGCGGUAAUAC
This 406-nucleotide ribosomal RNA is filed under the name uncultured bacterium. Its description in RNAcentral is "partial 16S ribosomal RNA". It matches the Rfam family "Bacterial small subunit ribosomal RNA", at positions 29 to 526 of the family's 1533-position model. The record is from RNAcentral.